RNAcentral lists this ribosomal RNA (536 nucleotides) under Hymenodora glacialis. Its description in RNAcentral is "partial 16S ribosomal RNA". It matches the Rfam family "Bacterial large subunit ribosomal RNA", at positions 1819 to 2625 of the family's 2925-position model. RNAcentral also lists the same sequence under 1 other name. The record is from RNAcentral. Lineage: Eukaryota; Metazoa; Arthropoda; Malacostraca; Decapoda; Hymenodoridae.
GUCUGUAUGAAAGCAAUAUAAAGUCUGGCCUGCCCACUGAAUACUUAAAGGGCCGCGGUAAUUUGACCGUGCGAAGGUAGCAUAAUCAAUAGUCUUUUAAUUGAGGGCUGGAAUGAAUGGUCGGACAAGAGGAAGUCUGUCUUUUUUAUAAAAAUUGAAUUUAACUUUUGAGUGAGAAGGCUCAAAUAUUUUGAAGGGACGAUAAGACCCUAUAAAACUUUAUAAGGUUUAGGAUAUUUUUUAAAUUUGGGUGUAAAAAGAAAUCUUCUUAUUUUAUUACGUUGGGGCGGCGAAAAUAUAAGUUGUAACUGUUUAUUAGUUAAAAUAAAAAUGCUUAGGGAAGUUGAUCCUUUAUUAGGGAUUAUAAGAGUAAGUUACUUUAGGGAUAACAGCGUGAUUUUUUCUGAGAGUUCCUAUCGACGAAAGUAGUUGCGACCUCGAUGUUGAAUUAAAGUUUCUCCGGGGUGUAGAAGCUCUGAGCGUAGGUCUGUUCGACCUUUAAAACUUUACAUGAUUUGAGUUCAAACCGGUGUGAG